UUUGCGCCCACCAUUGGAGAUGCUUUGACCUUGUUCGAGGCAAAAAGAAAGACCUUGUUUGUAUCAUUUCCGUAGAGAGAGAAAUCAGGACAGGAGUGGAUCCGAUUUCAUACCUGAAAAAACUAUAAUGAAUCUUUUCAUCAACUGAAUCUCAGAAGCAGCUAAUCGUAAAAACUCAGGCAUUCUAAUCAUCAUUCAAAGGUUCUUCUUCUUGUGAUCACCAGGUAAUAAAUAUCAAAAGAACAAUUUGAAAUGAGAAUCUAAGAAACAGCUUAUGUGCAGUGCGCAGUUCCAACUUGAGUUUUCUACUUUUCAAUGACUCGUUUCGAUCACAAACGGUGCAGGUACUUUUGAAUAUUAAAGAUCACUACUACUACUACUCAUCUGUCAGUCACUAGAGCUGCUUAAUGGGGGGCUUUAAAUUAAAUAGUAGUUGUGCCUGUGGGUUCAAGGGUACAACUCCACUCCAGUUACCUAGAGGCAUGGUGCGAGCGAAGAAAUUUGCAAGAGAAGGUUGGGGAUUGAGCAGACCAAGCUUUAAAACUGAUGGGGUGGUGGUUGGGUAAUGAAGUAGAAGAACCAAUAAUGAAGCUAGUAAAAGCUUAAGUUGAAUGCACUGCACAAGGCAAAACAGCGUGUUUCAGGUGGUAUUAUUCUUGCACCUGAAGGAAUCAAUGGGAGCAUUUGUGGAUAAGAGAAUCGGUGGAACGGUUCUUGGUUUCAGAUACAUACAAGCUAAUGACCAGUUGAAAGGUUAAAGAUAGUUCGAAUCUCUAGCGAGUCCUUAGGAAGAAGACAUCCGUCAUGGACACACUAUAGCAGUUCCCCUCUUGGAGCAGGGAAGGUGCACAUUUUCGAUGGGAUCACAUGCGAAUCAAUGUGAAGAAAGAGAUGGAGAAAUCUUGUAGUUGAUUCAUUUCGACAAGGGAACACCGACACUAGCUAAUGUAAUCAAACAAGCAUUAGAAGGAAGCGAUGUCGUCGCAAAGGUUGAAGCAACGAAAAAAAGCAGUAAUAUGAUUGUGCUGUCAACACCGAAACCACAGACUGAUAACAGUGUUUAGCUUAUUGUGCUUGAUCGAUUGAAUGAGCUCAAAACUAGGGAACCUGCCUUUUUUCAACAUGAACGAAGAAGGAGAUGGCACAGAUGCUUCAAAACCAUUGCAUCAAGUAAAUUCCAUCACUGUAUCUUCUAGGAGACCUGCAAUACUUGCUGGUGGUACCUAUGCUACUGCUGCCUCGGAAACUGGCAUAUCUCCUUCUACUCUGACCAAAUAAAUUUGCACAUAUUGAUAAAAGUCAAGAGAACAAUUUGAAAUGAGAUCAAGAGUCAAGUUCAGGUAACCUGAACUUGACUCUUGAUCUCACACCGGGCACCAAACAUACACGUCUCUUGCAAGGAUGCAGUAGAAUGAGCUAAGCAGAAUAAUAUUCAGGAAGUCUUGCUGCUAGUGAUAAUUGGAACGUGGUUUAUGCAGUGCAGGGUGGUAUUGUUCUUGCACCGAAUCAAGGGGAAUCAGUAAGAGCAUUUGUGGGAUAAGAGAAUUGGUGGAUACAUUUCUUGGUUUCAUACAAGCUGAUGACCGGUAGAAAGGUCUAAGACAGAUCGAAUCUCCAGUGAGUCCUGAGGAAGAGGCCUCCAUCAUGGGCACAUUAGCAGUUUCCCUCUUGGAGCAGGGGAAGAUGCAUCUUUUUGACGGGAUUAGGUGUGAGUCAAGGUGAAGAAAGAGAUAAUCUCUCUUGGAAUGCCAUCAGUGUCACCGAAUGAAAGAGUUGGAAAGCACGUGGACCCCAUAGGAAUGGAAUGAAUUGAUUAGUGACCCAGUAACUAUAGUAAUUGAUGUUCAAAGUUCUAGGAUUGGGAAGUUUUAAAGGAGCUGUAGAUCCAUGUAUGAUGGCCUUCCAGAAAUUACCUUCUUGGGUGGAUGAUAAUCUGUUACCAGCUGAGCAUGGAUUAGAGGAAAUUCAGGAAAUAGGGAGGCUUCGGGACGUGGAUUAUUUUGAGUCUCAGUUGAGCAUGGAUUAGCUUAAGGAACAACCUGUGAGUGAUGCUUACAUGGAAGCUCCAGAGUGGAAAUAUGGAGUUUCAUGCCCAUAUUUUUUCUCCACCAAAUCUGAAGAAGUGAAAGAUAGGGCAAGAGGGGCACAGACAAUUCAUGCAAAGAAGAUGGGUUCUCCACAGAAAAUUUACUUGGAGUUGGAAGUUAUGGAUCUGUUUACAAGGAAUUGUUAGUACUAAACCAAGUGGCACCGUCAGGUGUUGCAUGAAAGUACUAGACCUUCAAAGACGAGGAGCUUCAAAAAGUUUCAUGGAUGAAUGUGAAGCAAUGAGAUGCAUUCAGCAUCGAAAUCUAGUGAAGAUGCCGAUUUGUUGCUCGAGUAUUGAUUUAAAGGAAAUGAAUUCAUAGCUCUAGUCUCCGAGUUCAUGCCAAAUGGAAAUGUUGAUAAUUGGUUGCAUCCAACAGCUGCAACUUCAAAGGUCAGCGAGAACAUCACUGGGGUUUAUGAAGUGACUAAAUGUAUCCAUUGAUGUUGCUUCUGCACUAGAUUAUCUUCAUCAAGAUUGUCAAACUCCAAUUGCUCAUUGUGAUCUAAAGCCAGAUACUACUUUACUUGACGAUAACAUGAAGGGUCAUGUUUGUUAUUUCGGAUCAGGAAAGUUUCUUGGUGGGGUCAUCAUCGGUGUUGAAUCUGAACCCCAUACGAACAGUACUUUGGUCGGGAUAAGGGGCUCGAUUGGUUAUGCUACUCCAGGUAGAAGUUUUGGCUCAAUUGGUUAUGCUGCUCCAGUUAUGGGAACAUGGUGCUAGAGUGGUUUCCCCAACGAGACCUACAGGUUGCAUGAUCAUGGAUGGUUUAAGACUCACACAUUUGUUAAGACAGCUCCACUUAGAGAUCGUGAAUGCAGAUCGUUGACCUACAGUACUACUUGUUCCUGUCCAUCCCGAAGACAAUGAUGAUACCAACAAUGAAAAUCAUUUGCUUAAGAAUGACCACUAUUCUCAUUGUGGUCAAUUUUGUAAGUCAUAUCUGAUUGACUUAGAAGAUCCGCAAUUAUUUAGGUUAUUACUUUGUGAUUCCAAGUUCUUAUUUGAGUUUUUCCAGACUCUAGGACCUAAUAAUUUGGAUCCAACCUAUGAAGAAACGCAACGCAGCCAAUGAAAAUAUUCUAUUUAGACC
Papaver somniferum (opium poppy) is the source of this 3180-nucleotide long non-coding RNA. RefSeq lists it as uncharacterized. NCBI's taxonomy places the organism in Eukaryota, Viridiplantae, Streptophyta, Magnoliopsida, Ranunculales, Papaveraceae. The transcript has 8 exons. The record is from RefSeq and is a predicted model, not a curated record.